GUCUACAGCCAUGCCACCCUGAACAAGCCCGAUCCCGUCUAAUCUUGGAAGCUAAGCAAGGUUGGGCCUGGUUAGCACUUGGAUGGGAGUCCACCUAGGAAGACCAGGUGCUGUAGGCG
Molecule: ribosomal RNA, 119 nt
Filed under: Pteropus alecto (black flying fox)
Lineage: Eukaryota; Metazoa; Chordata; Mammalia; Chiroptera; Pteropodidae
Source: RNAcentral